GGACUACUAGGGUUUCUAAUCCCGUUUGCUCCCCACGCUUUCGCACCUCAGCGUCAGUCUUAGGCCAGGAAGGCGCCUUCGCCACCGGUGUUCCUCCUGAUAUCUACGCAUUUCACCGCUACACCAGGAAUUCCCCUUCCCCCUCCCGGACUCAAGUCAUCCAGUAUCCAAGGCACUGUUCACGUUGAGCGCUGAACCUUUCACCCCAGACUUAAAUAACCGCCUACGCGCGCUUUACGCCCAGUAACUUCGGACAACGCUCGCCCCCUACGUAUUACCGCGGCUGCUGGCAC
RNAcentral lists this unclassified non-coding RNA (293 nucleotides) under uncultured Armatimonadaceae bacterium. RNAcentral's name for it is "contains 16S-23S intergenic spacer region". Lineage: Bacteria; Bacillati; Armatimonadota; Armatimonadia; Armatimonadales; Armatimonadaceae. The record is from RNAcentral.